AUGUACAUACAUGCAUAUCUACAUAUGCCAGAGCACGAAGUCGUAUUUGUUCGUUAUGCGCCCCUCAUAUUCGACUUCGUGCUCUGGCAUAUGCAGAUAUGUAUGUAUGU
RNAcentral lists this microRNA precursor (110 nucleotides) under Drosophila guanche. Lineage: Eukaryota; Metazoa; Arthropoda; Insecta; Diptera; Drosophilidae. The record is from RNAcentral.